CCUACGGGUGGCUGCAGUGGGGAAUAUUGCACAAUGGGGGAAACCCUGAUGCAGCGACGCCGCGUGAGUGAAGAAGUACUUCGUUAUGUAAAGCUCUAUCAGCAGGGAAGAAAAUGACGGUACCUGAGUGAGAAGCCCCGGCUAACUACGGGCCAGCAGCCGCGGGAAUACGGAGGGGGCCAGCGUUAUCCGGAUUUACUGGGGGUAAAGGGAGCGGAGACGGGAGUGACAGGCUGGAGUGAAAGGCGGGGGCUCAACCCCCGGACUGCUCUGGAAACUGUACGUCUGGAGUGCAGGAGAGGCAAGUGGAAUUCCUAGUGUAGCGGUGAAAUGCGUAGAUAUUAGGAGGAACACCAGUGGCGAAGGCGGCUUACUGGACUGUAAAUGACGUUGAGGCUCGAAAGCGUGGGGAGCAAACAGGAUUAGAUACCCUUGUAGUC
RNAcentral lists this ribosomal RNA (440 nucleotides) under uncultured bacterium. RNAcentral's name for it is "partial 16S ribosomal RNA". It matches the Rfam family "Bacterial small subunit ribosomal RNA", at positions 338 to 795 of the family's 1533-position model. The record is from RNAcentral.